NNAUCUGAAAUCAAGCAGGAGCACCCGCUGAACUUAAGCAUAUCACUAAGCGGAGGAGAAGAAAUUAACUAAGAUUGCCUCAGUAGCGGCGAGCGAAGCGGCAAAAGCCCAAAAUGUAAAUCUUGUGCACAUCGUGUACACGAAUUGUAAUCUAAAGAGAGUUCACUCAACGGGCGGUGGCGCAGAAGUGACCUCGAACGGUCCGCCAGAGAGGGUGACAGCCCCGUAUGUGGUGUCACCGCUUAACGAGUGGGUUCUUAACGAGUCGGGUUGUUUUGUAUUGCAGCCCUAAGUGGGAGAUCAACUUCUUCUAAGGCUAAAUAUAUAUGGGAAACCGAUAGCGAACAAGUACUGUGAAGGAAAGA
RNAcentral lists this ribosomal RNA (365 nucleotides) under Paraurostyla sp. RNAcentral describes it as "LSU rRNA". It matches the Rfam family "Eukaryotic large subunit ribosomal RNA", at positions 1 to 364 of the family's 3401-position model. The record is from RNAcentral. Lineage: Eukaryota; Ciliophora; Spirotrichea; Stichotrichida; Amphisiellidae.